CGCUUCUAUAGGAUAACAGUUUAUCCAUUGGUCUUAGGAACCAAAAAUUCUUGGUGCAAAUCCAAGUAGCAGCU
RNAcentral lists this transfer RNA (74 nucleotides) under Hasemania nana. RNAcentral describes it as "tRNA-Leu". It matches the Rfam family "tRNA". Rfam says of the family: Transfer RNA (tRNA) molecules are approximately 80 nucleotides in length. Their secondary structure includes four short double-helical elements and three loops (D, anti-codon, and T loops). Further hydrogen bonds mediate the characteristic L-shaped molecular structure. tRNAs have two regions of fundamental functional importance: the anti-codon, which is responsible for specific mRNA codon recognition, and the 3' end, to which the tRNAs corresponding amino acid is attached (by aminoacyl-tRNA synthetases). tRNAs cope with the degeneracy of the genetic code in two manners: having more than one tRNA (with a specific anti-codon) for a particular amino acid; and 'wobble' base-pairing, i.e. permitting non-standard base-pairing at the 3rd anti-codon position. Lineage: Eukaryota; Metazoa; Chordata; Actinopteri; Characiformes; Acestrorhamphidae. The record is from RNAcentral.